ACUUCUAUUUUAAAUUUCCUUUUAAUAUCUCCCCAUUUCGUUAGGCGGCACCGAAAGGAUGCGAGUCCUUGCGAUUUCUUCUUCCUCCAUGGCCAAUCCGAGCUCUCCCUCUCCUCCAUCUUCAACAUUUCCACUCCAGUGGUUGUGAGUUCGGUUUGUGUGUAUCGUGUAGUGGUUCUCCCUUUCCCUGUUCAAUUUUGGUGCUCCUGUCCCUUGCAGAUCUUGUAGUUUGACUCGAUUCGAUCCCCUGAAGUUUGAUGUGGAUGAAGGUGCACGUAUUUUGAUUCCCUUGGGCCUUUUGUGGUGGAUGUAGUGGUAUGUGUUUGGAUCCCCCCAGGCGUUUUGAUUCUGCUAGCACAUUUGACGUAGAUGUAUGUGCAGAUGGUUGAUCGCCCUGGCCUUUUUUCUUGUUAGAUGUAGUAGUAGGUGUUCGAUUCCCCUGGGCGUCUAAUUCCCCUUGCCCGUUUUGAUGUAGAUGUAUGUCUAGAGGCUUGAUUCCGCUGGAGUAGCAAAUAUGAGCUCUACCUCAUUCUCCCAUUGUCUCUGUAGAUGUAGGUGUUUGAUUCCUCUUGGCUAGGUUUUGAUUUCAGUGUGGAUUUGUGGUCUGUAUCGGUGGGGCUUGUGCUUCUUCAUGUUGAUUAUUGUGAUAAUUCUUUCUAAAAUUGUGAUCUAGUUAAGUGGAGUGCAGGUAGUGUUUUAGCCAAACCUCCCCUCUCUGAACUCAUCUAUUUAGUCAUAUAUAUGAAGCAACCAAAUCUCUGUGUGUGUGUGUGUUUGCUGGUUUGCCUUUUUUUUUGCUUAGUUAAUGUGUCUUUCAGUUAUUGUCUCUGUUCAUGCUUAUCUCUGCACAAAUAGUUGUUGCAACGGGCUAUUGGAACUUUCGAUGCUCACACUAUAUUAGGUUGUUUAAUGUUUAGCUUGGUGUUAUGUAGUACCUGUUUGUUCACUACAUUUGGAGUAUGGUUCUGGCUCACACUGUAUUUGUAAUUCUACUAUAAAUUUGCACUAUAAAUCUAUUGAAAUUAUACUGUUAAUCCACUGCAAUUACAUGUAAUUCUACUGUAUUUUUACACUAUAAUUCUAUUGUAAAUUGCACUGUAAAGCUACUAUAAAUUACAGUAUUGAUCUACUACAGUUACACUGUAAUUCUACUGUAUUGUUUACUUUGUAAUUCUGCUGUAAAUUACACUGUAAUUCAACUAUAAUAUAAUGUAUUUUCACUGUUAUUUAACUGUAAAUCAAUUGUAAAUUACAAUGUGAUUCAAACUGUAAAACUGUGAUCUUCUACUGUAAUUGAACUGCAGAACGUUACACUCUAAAUUACACUAUUAAGUUCUUUACUCUUUUUCAACUCUUCCUUUUUGUGUGUCAUGUAAGCUUAUAGGAUUAGUUUAAUGGGUAGACUACGGAAGGUUCUCACCAGGACGUUCCUGUAGUAUCAACUUUUGAAACUGCAGAUUAUUUCGAUGAACCUUUUGUGCCCAGCAACUUCGUGGUUUAUGAUUCAUUUUAAUGAGUUGUCGUCGGUAGUUAUUCUUGUCUAUUUUUUUGUUCUUUUCCUCAUUUGGUUUAGUUCUUUAUUUUAGUUCAUUUUAAUUUGUUUAUUGGCUAUCUCUUUUUAUGCAGGAACUAUUUGUAGAUGAUGGCAACUUUUAGAAAGCUCUACUGAAGUUCUAUAUGAAUCAUUUGCGUGCUAUUUGUUUACUUGUAGUCCUUGCAUUUUUUAUUUUUCUUUAUUUAUGCCUUUUCCACCUUCCUUUGGUUUACAGUCCUCUUCAUUCAUUUGUUAUUUUUUUCAGAAAGUAAAAUGUUUGAAAUGAAAGCUUUCAUGUUCCGGCACAAAGAAUGUGGAGCCUACGACCCCCUUGAUCCAACGGGCAACAUCACAAUCAGAUGGGAUGUGAGGAGCUGGGUUCCAGAUGGCUAUGUGGCUGAGGUUUCACUAUUCAACUAUCAGCAGUACCGCCACAUUUAGCCACCGGGAUGGAAGCUCGGUUGGGUGUGGUCAAAGAAGGAGAUAAUCUGGUAUGUGCAAGGUGGAUAGGCUACAGAGCAAGGCGAUUGCUCCAAAUUCAAAUAUGAUAUCCCUCACAGCUGCAAGGUGAACCCGGAGAUAGCCGACCUGCUUCCCGGGGCACCUUCCAAUAGGCAGAGGGCCAACUGCUGCAAAGGUGGAGUCCUCAGCUCACUGGCACAGGACCCUGCUAAUGCUGUGGUGUGCUUUGAAGUGUCAGUUGGUCGAUCAGGGACCACAGCCAAGACUCUGGAAUUGCCUAUGAAUUUCACUCUGAAGGCCCCUGGUCCAGGGUAUACCUGUGGACCUGCAACCAAGUUAGAUGAACCUACAAAGUUCACUACACCAGAUGGAAGGAGGAAAACUCAAGCCCACAUGACAUGGACUGUGACUUGUACCUACUCACAGUUUCGCGCUCUGAGGUAUCCCACGUGUUGUUUAUCUCUCAGCGUGUUUUACAGCGACACACUUGUUACCUGCCCCAAAUGCUCAUGUGGCUGCCAAGAUAACAGCACAAAACCAGGAAUCUGUGUAGAGGGAAACUCACCUUAUCUUGGUUCUGUCAUGAAUGGUCAAGACAAGAACGGCUUGGCACCUCUGGUCCAAUGCACUACUCAUAUGUGCCCAAUAAGAGUUCAUUGGCAUGUGAAGGCUAACUACAAGGAGUACUUGAGAGUAAAGAUCACAGUGACAAACUUCAACUACGGGAUGAAUUACUCGCAGUGGAACCUAGUAGCUCAGCACCCUAAUGUCAACAGCUUGACUAGCAUUACCAGCUUCAACUACACAGCUCUGAACCCUUAUGGACUUAUGAAUGACACCGCUCUGUUAUGGGGCAUCAGGCACUACAAUGAUUAUCUCUUGACUGCUGGACCUGAUGGAUAUGUUCAGUCUGAGCUACUAUUCCGGAAGGACCCGUCAACAUUCACCUUGCGGGCAGGAUGGGCCUUUCCAAGAAGAGUGUACUUCAAUGGCGACAAGUGUGUGACGCCGCCUCCAGAUGCGUACCCGUGGCUGCCAAACGCAUCCACGAAAUCAACCGUAUCAGUUAUCGUCCCAUUGGUUCUUUGGAUGCUUGCUAAUCCCUACUUCUGAGAAGAAUGAAGGGAAAAGGCUCGGAAAAAUCCUUUGCUACGGAGCAAAGUUGCUGCUGGUAUUGGCGUCUGAUUCAACAGGAAUAGAGGCUGGGCAUCGUUGACAAAGACUGGAAUGAAAAAAAGAAGCAAUGCGUUGGAAGUGGUGAAAAAAAGAAGGUGCUGUGAACUAUCAGGAUGUUGUUGCGUGCUCUGGUUUUGCUUUCUUAGGUGCUAUCCUUGUUCCUGGUAUGCUUUGCUAGAGAUGUACGCUGUUUCAGUUUCUUUGACUGUAGUUUUGUGUACUUCCCAAGUUCCCAGAGUAUAGGACUUGAAAGUAGGCGCUUGGUAGAAAAAAGACCUCUGUUACUUUUGCUGUGUUAUCAGCUUCUUAAUUGAAGCUGGGGACGUUGCCCCUUGAGUCGGAAAAAAAGUAGAAGGAUUACCUUCCUCAAUUUUCUCAACUAAUCAAUCA
Triticum aestivum (bread wheat) is the source of this 3562-nucleotide RNA transcript. It is a transcript of the gene named COBRA-like protein 1, with no coding region annotated. Lineage: Eukaryota; Viridiplantae; Streptophyta; Magnoliopsida; Poales; Poaceae. The transcript has 7 exons. The record is from RefSeq and is a predicted model, not a curated record.